GCCUAUAGGUGUAUCACCCUGAACCUGCCAGAUUUCAUCUGACCUCAGAAGCUAAGCAGAGCCAGGCUUGGUUAGUGUUGGAAUGGAAGAAUUCUAAUGAAGGAACAGUCUAAAUAAUCA
This 120-nucleotide ribosomal RNA is filed under the name Jaculus jaculus (lesser Egyptian jerboa). The record is from RNAcentral. Lineage: Eukaryota; Metazoa; Chordata; Mammalia; Rodentia; Dipodidae.